AUGCUCUCUGGCUUCGGUCAGCUGAGUUCAAUGAGUGCCUUCUCUUCGGAGUUGGCCAUCCACACACACCGUGAACUGUGGCUUCGGCCAUCACAAACUGUUAGUAAUGAAUGUAAUAUCAUAACAAAAACAAAACUUUUAACAACGGAUCUCUUGGCUCUCGCAUCGAUGAAGAACGCAGCGAAAUGCGAUAAGUAAUGUGAAUUGCAGAAUUCAGUGAAUCAUCGAAUCUUUGAACGCACCUUGCGCCCUUUGGUAUUCCGAAGGGCAUGCCUGUUUGAGUGUCAUGAAACCUCACCCCACUUGGGUUUUUGCCUGAGCGGUGGUGUAUUGGGUGUUGCCUUGCCAAAGGCUCGCCUUAAAAACAUAAGCACCUUGGAUGUAAUACGUUUCAUCCUUCUGGGUGGCUGAUAACCCCACAUAUUCAUGAUCUGGCCUCAAAUCAGGUAGGGCUACCCGCUGAACUUAAGCAUAUCAAUAAGCGGAGGAAAAGAAACUAACUAGGAUUCCCUUAGUAACGGCGAGUGAACCGGGAUGAGCUCAAAUUUGAAAUCUGGCGUCUUUCAGGCGUCCGAGUUGUAAUCUAUAGAGGCGUUUUCCGCGCCGGACCGCGUCCAAGUCUCUUGGAAUAGAGUAUCAAAGAGGGUGACAAUCCCGUACUUGACGCGACAACCGGUGCUCUGUGAUACGUUCUCAAUGAGUCGAGUUGUUUGGGAAUGCAGCUCUAAAUGGGUGGUAAAUUCCAUCUAAGGCUAAAUAUUGGCGAGAGACCGAUAGCGAACAAGUACCGUGAGGGAAAGAUGAAAAGCACUUUGGAAAGAGAGUUAAACAGCACGUGAAAUUGUUAAAAGGGAAACGAUUGAAGUCAGUCGUGUGGGAAGUAUUCAGCCGUCUCUGGCGGUGUAUUUGCUUCUCACGGGUCAACAUCAGUUUGAUCCGGUAGAAAAAGGCGGGAAGAAGGUGGCACCCUCGGGUGUGUUAUAGCUUCCUGUCAUAUGUGCCGGACCAGACUGAGGAACGCAGCUUGCAGCAAUGCCGGGGUUCGCCCACGUACAAGCUUAGGAUGUUGACAUAAUGGCUUUAAACGACCCGUCUU
RNAcentral lists this unclassified non-coding RNA (1096 nucleotides) under Vishniacozyma carnescens. RNAcentral describes it as "sequence contains 18S rRNA gene, ITS1, 5.8S rRNA gene, ITS2, 28S rRNA gene". The stretch from base 433 to 1096 matches the Rfam family "Eukaryotic large subunit ribosomal RNA", at positions 1 to 655 of the family's 3401-position model. The record is from RNAcentral. Lineage: Eukaryota; Fungi; Basidiomycota; Tremellomycetes; Tremellales; Bulleribasidiaceae.